CAGUCGCCGCGGUAAUACGGAGGGUGCAAGCGUUAAUCGGAAUUACUGGGCGUAAAGCGUGCGUAGGCGGUUCGUUAAGUCUGUUGUGAAAGCCCCGGGCUCAACCUGGGAAUGGCAAUGGAUACUGGCGAGCUAGAGCGUGUCAGAGGAUGGUGGAAUUCCCGGUGUAGCGGUGAAAUGCGUAGAGAUCGGGAGGAACAUCAGUGGCGAAGGCGGCGACCUGGUCCUUUACUGACGCUGAGGCGCGAAAGCGUGGGGAGCAAACAGGAUUAGAUACCCCCGUAGUCCCUGUCUCUUAUAC
Molecule: ribosomal RNA, 301 nt
Filed under: uncultured bacterium
Lineage: Bacteria
Description: partial 16S ribosomal RNA
Rfam family: Bacterial small subunit ribosomal RNA
Source: RNAcentral